UGGUAGGACAAAAGGCAUCUUUAGUCUAUUAAAGUAGGGGAUCGCAAGACCUUGCGGUUAGAGAGAGGUCCAUGGGAUAUCAGCUAGUUGGUGCGGUAAAAGCGCACCAAGGCUAAGACGUCUAGGCGGAUUGAGAGAUUGACCGCCAACACUGGGACUGAGAACUGCCCAGACUCCUACGGGAGGCUGCAGUCGAGAAUCAUUCGCAAUGGGCGAAAGCCUGACGAUGCGACGCCGUGUGAGCGAAGAAGGCCUUAGGGUCGUAAAAGCUCUUUCGCCUGGGAACAAGAGAAGUCGGCUAAUAUCCGGCGGAUUUGAGGGUACUAGGUAAAGAAGCACCGGCUAACUCCGUGCCAGCAGCUGCGGUAAUACGGAGGGUGCAAGCAUUAAUCGGAUUUAUUGGGCGUAAAGGGCGCGUAGGCGGGGAUAAUAGUCAGAUGUGAAAUCCUGGGGGCUCAACCUCAGAACUGCAUUUGAAACUGUAUCUCUCGAGGGUAGGCGG
RNAcentral lists this ribosomal RNA (502 nucleotides) under uncultured bacterium. RNAcentral describes it as "bacterial SSU rRNA". It matches the Rfam family "Bacterial small subunit ribosomal RNA", at positions 173 to 655 of the family's 1533-position model. The record is from RNAcentral.